Molecule: long non-coding RNA, 2410 nt
Filed under: Trifolium pratense (red clover)
Lineage: Eukaryota; Viridiplantae; Streptophyta; Magnoliopsida; Fabales; Fabaceae
Description: long non-coding RNA (TPRA_LNC000218)
Source: RNAcentral
GGAUAGAUUGUAACAUCCCAACUUUAAUUAAUAGGAAAAUAUUAAUUAGAGAUGUUAUUGGAAACUAAAUAGAAAUGAGAGUACAAGUAUUAAGGGAUACUCAAAUGACACAAGCACACUUUGAAGUUAAGUGAAAGGAUAAAAUGGUAAUUAAACUAUGCCUAUAUAAGGUCAUCACACUCACUCUACCUCCUAUUUUCAUAAAGCAAUUUCAGAGCACCUCACCCCAACACUCUCUUCUCUCUCCGUGUCCUUCAUUACCACCCCCAACAUCAAAGCUCACCCCACUAAUAUCACUUCAAUGUUGCAUGCAAGUUAGGAAUUGAAUUCUUUGAGUCUCAAGAAGCAAGGUUAGAACCCAUAACUUCCUUCUCCUUCCCUCUGCCACGCAAUAAUCUCCCUCUCCACCUUAACCCAAAUCAUUCUUAGCCUCCAAACCCUUAUUCCCUAAACUGCUCAUUCAUUUCCAAUCCUUCAACUUAUGGUGGUUGCAUGUGAAAUUAAAGCACUUAUGAACCUUUGGGUAUUUGAUAUAAACUGGGAUUUAAAGUGGAAGUGAACAGAAAUGGAAGAUUUAAGGAGUUGAAGAUGGAAGCUUGGUUUGGUGAAGUUUGGAAGAAUUUAUGUAAAAACCAGUAUUUCUGGACAUACACUCACUAAAAAGGUAAUUACUCAUUCUCUGUAACUUCAAUUGAGAUUCCGCUUGUUGUUACAGUUAGCUAACAAAAUUCCAGUCGUUUGGGAUACCAGCCUCGUGAGAUUUGGUGGAGAAAUAAGGUCUGUGCGAAUUUUUGAAAUGAAAGGUUCAAUACAGGAUUUUGCAGAAUUCGUGUUUGGACAAGGCUGCACUUAAAUGGUGAGUUCUCACUCUCUAUAAUUCUGUUUGAAAUCUCGUUUGUUUCUAUGGAUAGCUAACUCAAUUAUGGUCGUCUUGGUUCCGGUUUGGUAUAUUUUGGAUGAGUAAUGAGCUCAGAGGACGCAUUUAAAGUUGGAGGUCUGAAGCUGCGUUAUGCAGAAAAUUCUGUUGCGAAUUUGCGUAUUCGAGUGGCACAAUCGGAUGGUUGUUAAGCGUGCGGGACAACUCGGUACUGCAAUUCAUAUCAGGUGGGUUCCCUUAGAGCCUUAAACUCUAGUUAGUUUAGUACCAUAGUUUCCCGAAAUCAAGAAUAUGUAUGACAACAUUAGUUUAGAAAGUAAGUUAAGAUAUUCCCCAAAAGUAUGAUGCAUGAUAACAUUAAGGGUUUUAGGAUUAUAAUGUGUGUGAGGUGGAUUAAAUCCCCAAGUCCACCUCUACUAUAAUUGAUGGAUAUUGGUUAAUGACUAUGACUGAAUGAAUAUGGUUUGUAGGUGGCAAUCUAAUGAAUUUAUAUAGAAAAUGCAAAACAGAGUACUUAACUGGUGUAUUCGCUAAGCGAGGAUUAACUUUGCUGGGCGAUUAUAACAGGACAGUACACUGCAUAAUUACUACUUUUCAAAUUUAGCCACUCGUUUUAAACCCUUAUUUAUUCUGGAACUUUUCCAUAGACAAUAUACUGAUAUACUAGGUUUAUAGCGUCAAACACACUUCAGGAAAUUACGUAUCAGGAAUCAGGGCAAUUUAGAAAUACCUUGGAAGGGAAUUCAUGGGCAGAAUAACAAUCAGGAUUAUCAAGUUAAGUUAGGAAAGUCAGUCAAUCAUGGUGGUUACUUUUGUACCACAUUAUGGGAUUCAGUAGAAUCCAAUUAUGUUAUGAUUGUGAGCUUCAGCCGUGUCGAUGUAUAUUAUUAUCGCAGACGGAUAUGUCAGGCCUCUGAGACCGGCUCACCUCAGAGUGUCUUUGUUAUGAAUAAAACGAACAAGAUAAUAAUUUGUGAUACACCUUUAUGAUAUUAUGUUAUGUUAUGAAUUACGUUAUAAAAUUAUGUUAUGGACUGACUAUCAGGAUCAGAGAACUAUAUUAGUUCAUUAAUUGCCUCGGGUGUAAAUACCAAUAGUUACUGGGUAGUAGGAAUCCACUGAGACGAAGUGACUGUUCUCAUCCCCCACUUAUUUGAUUUCAGACAAGCAGGUUGAUCGAGAUAUCUUGGUUUGUUAGCACGAAGAUUCAGAUACGUGGAUUACGUUAUGGAGCUGACAUCAUGUUAAUCUUAUUAUUAUAUAAGAUUCAGUUUAUUUGAGUUUAGUAGUUAGCUCAAUCAUGUAUUCAUUUAGUGGAUUAUUGUAAUCCUAUUGAUGUAUUUGAUCUUUAUGUAGUGAAAAAUUAAUGUUUCCCGAUUCAGUUAUGUACACUCUUGUUGAUAUUCUAGAUAAAUUGACAUGAGAUGUUAUAAUUGGUAUCAGAGCCUGGUUGGGGGGUACACACAAAAAUAUGAGACGCUGGCUGGUGUGAAUAGGUUAUCUAAUAAACUGAUUGCUAAGGAACUGUCAAAC